GCCCAGACCGAGGCACUGCUAUAUGCAUCAGUCACCUCCUUCCGUCCUCGCAGCGACCCUCACUCAGCCCGCGGUCACCACCAUUCCCAUUUAACAGACAGGCACAGAGAGGGCCGAGGCCCACAGCUGACAAACUGCGGCGCGGAGACCGGCGCCCUGGGCUGUCUGACACCGGGGCGCUCGCUGUCAGCCCGGCGAGAUCCCCAUCUCCUCUCUCCGGUCUCAAUCCACGCCCCCUUUUCCAAAUCCCGCGGCCAGCAGGGAAGGGAGAACCAGCUGAGCCGAGCAAGCGGCACCCAUCCCUCUCCCCAAAGUUUCAACGCCGGCGGGCCAGGGGGAGGGGGGGUGGGAGGAGAGCCGGCCGGGGGCUGGGAGGGGCUCCGGGCUGAGUGGGAGGGGAGAUCGCGGCGGGCAGGAGGGAAGGAGCGCGCGCGCGGCCGGGGCGGGAGGGGCGCAAAUGGAGGCAGGGGCCGAAGUUACCGUGUCCGCGGCGGCCGGGCGUCCAGAGCGGGUGUCCGUCUCGGUCCCUCGACGGCGAGGGUCUGGCGCCGCCCCAACGAAAGCGAAACUAAAAGGCCCGGAGCGGCAGGGGGCGGAGUCGCGCGGGGCAGUCUCCUCCCGCUCGCGCUAGUGCGCUCUCCGGAGUUGCUAGCGAGCCCAACGACCCGCUCCAACGCGCGAACCGUCGCGGGAGAGCGCCCCCUGCAGAACUGGUCGCCGGGUCUGCACCACGGUCGGCGCGCGUCGCCCGGGGGGAAGGCGCCCUGGCGAAGUUGGCCGCGCACCCGGAGAGCGUGCUGGGUAAAGCUGGCCGACAGCUCUACGACCCCGAAGCCGUGCUCACGGUCCCCGGGGAGAGCACCUUCUGCACCGCCAGCAGCACUCCAAGUGACCCGGGAACGCGCUCUGCAAACCUGCCCCGCGCAGAGCCCCAGCCGCGCACGCGGAAGAGCGCGCUCCGGGGACUUCGCGGCGCUCGACGCCCCAGUGCUCGCCAGGGGCGCCCCUCCUUCUCUCCUGCCGCUACUGUACCCCGUCUGCACCUCUACUCGGGCUUCCGCACCAGUAUCCAGUAUCAGGGACCCAGUCCCACAGCCAGAGGGCUUUUCCCCAGCCAGGCUCUCGACCCCAAUCUGUGCUGUGGGCGCCCCAACCCUGGGGAAGGGAGUGUGCUCGGCGCCCGCAGCAGCUGGUUACCUUCUCCGGGCCGGGCUUCUGGGGCCAGCCGUGGGGUUGCCGGUGGGCUUCCGGUGUCCACUCUUGGGGACGCCUCGGUUCGCGUGUGGACGGUAG
RNAcentral lists this long non-coding RNA (1293 nucleotides) under Ursus thibetanus thibetanus. RNAcentral describes it as "lncRNA (ENSUTTG00000013576.1)". The record is from RNAcentral. Lineage: Eukaryota; Metazoa; Chordata; Mammalia; Carnivora; Ursidae.